Long non-coding RNA from Mus musculus (house mouse), 5143 nucleotides. RefSeq annotates it as predicted gene, 41810. The transcript has 2 exons. The record is from RefSeq and is a predicted model, not a curated record. Lineage: Eukaryota; Metazoa; Chordata; Mammalia; Rodentia; Muridae.
UGUCUUCCCCUCCUGCCUACUCACAGUGAAACUUACCUGAAGCACAUGACACAGCCCCCAGCUAUCUGAAGAGAGCUAUCACCCUCUCUCCCCUGGGUUUAGAAAGACAUUGCAUAGGCUUCUCAAUGGGAAAUGUAUUGCAAGCAGGUUAGCAAAUCUUUCUUGUAGAUAACAGGAAUCAGAAACAGAUCAUACCCUAUCUUGUUACCAAAGAAAAAGGUGGUCGCUGGGGUAAAGGACAGUGUAGAGGAAGGGGAUGACACAACACAGUAUGGUUGGUAAGGCACACAUACCUCAGUGUUCUUCACAGAAACCAUUAAUAAUGGCAGAAGCACAGUCUGAGACCAACCGCGUUUUCUAUUUUACAAAGGCAGCAUCAAGGAGCUUGGAGGCGAGUGUACCUACUACUGAUGCUUUGCUACAUGGUCAUGCUGUCAGACUGCCUUCUAAGUAUUUAUGUUCAUGGCUACAGAUUAGGGCUGCCCUCAACCUUAAUCAGAGGACCUUCUAUGGACAAUGGGCAGCAGCCCACGCAAAGACUCCUAACUACUCAGUGUUGAAAAUGAGCAGCAGUUGGGUGUUCAGCCCUAGAUGGGCUAUUUAUGCUAUUACCAUCCAGACUCCUGAGCUAUGGUGAAGAGAAGGCAGAAAGGACUGAAGAGCCAGAGGAUGGGGAAAACGCUGUGAGAGGCUGUCUUCAGGACACAACAUGGCUGUAGCACACAGAAGUUGUGACUGCCGGCACAAAAUCUAGCCACGUGACAUUCCAUCACAGAUUGAGGGCUCAUGAGGCUCCCUCCACCCCUAAGUGAGGAGCCAUUGGCAGUCGCCGGCUUCUAGGGAAAGGGGGAAUCAUUUUUCUUCCUUCUGGAGUGUGUCCCCUUGGCAGGCCACCCAUGCUCUGGUAGACAGCCCCAUACUGAUUUGCAUGCAGGCAUCCUUUACUGGACUCAAUUGAUUAUGUAAAAUUUUUAAAGAGAAAAGGAAAGAGAAGACAUGAAGGUACAAGACUGUUAGAUGUACGGGAGGUUAUCUGAGGAUAGAGGAGGGAGGAUUUGGGUCAGUUAUCAAGAUACAUUGUAUCCGUGAAUGAAAUUGUCAAUAAAUAAGUAAGAAUAAUCAAGAAGAAGCAGUGGCUGAGGCAGCAGCAGCACAGAGGUGAAGUUGCAAAAGGAUCCCGGCUACUAAGUGUCAGGGCCUCAAUUAGAGAAGCCUUUGAACUUCAACCCCAUCCUCUCUGCAUCGCACUGCUCCAAAAGGACAGCGACCUCCCUGUGGUUUUAGAACACUACCAUAAAUAUAGCACCAGCUAGCACCUCACUUGCAUUAGCCCUGAUUUACAGAGGCUAACCCUGCAGGGCUGAGAGGCAAAGGAACGUGUUCCGGUUCCCUAGAAAAAUGCCUUGUUCUUGGAACUCAAAGCUCACUUAAGAUUACUUUGUUGACAACCAACUACUGAAAAGAGCCAGGGAGUAUCUUAGUCUCAAAAUAGAUUCCCUGACUAAGUAAAGGGAGCGGCCUCUGACUGCUGUUCAGCUCUGAACUCUUUUUGACAAGGGGCAUCCCUGCCAUCCAGGUUAUCCCAACUACAAAAGAGCACCAAGUAAAGUUUGCCCCUCAGUUAACCAGGAUGCCCUGAGGCUCAAAUGUGAAAAAGCAACUUUGGGGCAGAGGCUGGCUCCCACAAUAAGCAACUGUCUCUUCCUUCUCUCAUUUCUCCAUCUCCCAAACCUAUUCUACAGCCCAGGACCCAGAGCAUGCAAACAGGGUGAGGAAGAUCUCAUCCCUGCAAGGGAGGAGAAAGUAAAACAAUUACAACACCAACAUUUCUAUUUCAAAACAAAAAAAGCCAAAAAAAAAAAAAACAUUAAGUUAUUAGCAUAAGUCCUAGGCGCCAUACAAAGGGCUCUCCUGCAGCUCACUUGCUUUUAGCUUGCAUACCUACUCAUUUUACAGAUAACAAAACUUAAGCUUGGAGUUUAAAGGGUAACCAGUAAGCAGUAGGGCCAGGGCAAAGCCCCAGUGCUAAUGCAGACUAAUACUUCCCUACUGUAAGGAGCUCAUUAAUCACCUGGGAAGACUCGGUGAGACCUUCACCAGGUCUAGUCUGAGAUCUGAGCUGAUGCGCGCUUCUAGGCUAGCUAGGAGGCAGACUCCACUGUGAGUUUCCAGGGCUGCACUGUUAUAUCCCAUUAAGUGGCAGCCUGUAUCACCGGGUGGGUUCCUAAAGUUUCACACUCGCCCUGCUCCAUAGAAUGUGCUCAGUAACUUACUAAAUGAAUCUAUACCUCCAAAAAUUGAUGCUUCAGCACUUCCCUAUAUCAAUCCCAUUAUGUCAUUCAACCUUCAUAACAGACCUAUAAGGAAGGAAGAUUCUCCCUUGACCGACAAGGAAAUAGGCUCAAAAGAGUAAGUGACCUAAGCUUUUCAGCUUUUGUGCGGCAGACGACCACAGCUGUCUCCGGGGGUACAAGACAAAAUAAUUACAGACCACUGAAUGGGAAGAGGGGUGCCAUCUCAGCACCUAACAGGCUCACCGCUCCGGAAGUCACCCGGAACUCUCAACUACUCCGGGGAUGGAGUAGCCCUGCCCGGUGCUCCGGGAGGGAAAUAGAAAGGAGAGGAGGCCGGUUUGGGGCACAGUGCCAGGCGGCAGAAGACAGCUGGUGAGCCCGGGGCCCGCCUGAUCCCCCAAGCGCCGCGGACUCACGGCCUUCAGCUGCUCCAGCCGGUCCUUCAUCCUGGCCCAGGUGAGGGCGGCGGGCGCCUUGUCUCAGGUGAGCGCGUCCCAAGUGAGCGGCCUGGAGCGGCGGCGGCUGCCGGCCGGGGCGAGAGAGCUGCUAGAGCGGGCGGAGGCGGGCGGCGGCCGCUCUCGAGGAGGAGCGUCCGAGGCCACCGAGGUCCGCCGCGCCGCCCCCUCCGGCCCCCGCCGGCGCCGCGCUCCAAAUCCGGCUACGAGACCGCGCCGGCUCAGGGCUCGCCCGCCCCUGGGCCCGCCCCAUACCUGGGCCGCUCCCCGAGCUCCUGCUUAAAGGGCCAGCGCGCUCCAGCGCCGGAAGCAUUCCGGGCACACCUUCCCAUGCCCCUCGAAAGGCAGAAACAAAAAAAAAAAAAAAAAAAGGCGGGGGUGGUCUGUCUGGCUUCGAUUCCGUAUUUUCCGCACUGUUCUUAUUGUUCGGCCCUCUGCGGACUCCUCAGGUUGAAGACAAGCUGGUUCCUGCUCCCUUUGAUGAGGGAAAACGUUCCGAUGAUGCUCAAGAGAUAUUCCGCCUUAAAGAAGGGACCUGUUGGGUAUAAAAUCUGUGCGGUUCGGGCUCAGAGACUUGUUCCCGUAGGGCGUAACUGCAGAUGAGAUGCCCUGGAUCGGGCUGCGGCGAGGAAUUUGGGGAUUAUGAUGCUAGUGGUUGUGGGGCCUCUCGAAGUCGUGUAGGCGGUCCAGUCACCUUUUACUAACAAUUUGAAUAACUUGAGGGAAUCUAGGAGAGUCCGUUUCCAUAGCUAUAUAAAUCAGAGGCUGCUUAGCAAUUUUCUGCUUAGCCUGUACGAGAAAAGAAGCAACUGACUUUUAACUACCGGGCAGAGUUGUAGGAUAAAGACGUUUGUUUGAUUUGGAAAACUUAAGCCCACCUCUCUCCUCCUUGCUGUCAAGAGCCCUGGGAUUUGAAGAAUUUUUAGAAAAGUGUGGUUCUUCUCACUGCCCUUCCUCUUCAACGGUGCCCCUAUUCCCUUCCCCUCCGUAUUUGAUUUGGGGAUAACAAAUGGCGUAUCGACCAGAGUAGUGGUCAACAAUUGGCGCUAGUGAAGACUUGGUCUCAAGUUCGAGAAGUAUCCUCGACUUUGUGUUCAAUCUUAAAGGCCAUAGAUACUUUCUAAUUAUAACCGGACUUUACCCUCUGCGAUGUGCACGCUCCUACUGACUUCCUCCGCUGCCAUAAAGGUAGUCAAGUAAGGCAGGGCUUGAGCUGUUAGAGCCAACUAUGCGGUAAUCAACUCUAAUCCUCUAUCUGACCUCCGGCUCCUGUCCUGACGCUGGCCCAGCGAGGACUGCGAAAGUUUCCACGCCCCCUGGUGGUCGUAACCCUACAGCUAGGGCUUGAACACCCCCACCCCAGCCCAGCAAACACUUGGAAAACCUUCCGCCACCGAGCUCAUUCUCUAGCAUCAGCCCUUAGGUUUUCUCCUUUCAGACAGAAUCUCCCUGAAUUGCCCAGGCAAGCUUUGAACUUGCCAUUCUCCUGUUUCAACCUCUCCAGUAAGAGGGGUUACAGUGAAAAACUCUCGAAGUGUGGACGUCUGAAAUCUGGACAGAAGUGAGGAAGGAGGAUGGAUUCAUUUUGAAGCAAGAACAAAGGAUUCCAGUUAAGACGCGAUUGAUUUUAGGCUGCAAAAAACGGCCCUGCAGUAAAGAACACUGACUGGAGGACCUGGGUUCAAUUCCCAGCAUCCACAUGGUGACACACAGUUCCAGGGGAUGCAACGCCCUCUUCUGGGCUCUGCAGAGGUUACACACAUGUGGUAUACAGACAUAAUGCAGGCAAAAACAUUCAUACAAGUAAAAAAAAAAUUUUUUUAAGUCCCAGCAAAUUAUUUUAAAGGAUAUAAUUGAUUUCAACAGGGAAAAAAUUGUGACUCUCAUGCAAAUAUAAAAUGAAUAUAUUUUAAUGUUUUAGCUUAUUAGUGAAGCAACCAGUAAGAGGUUAAACUCAUUCAGAUCCACAGACAAACAGCAGGAAGGCUGGCAUGAAUAGGUUACUUGAUGCAAAACUAGCUCUGGGGAUGGGAGAAGAAACCGUGCUUCUCCUGUACACUAAGUCCUUAUAAUCUCCAUGAAUAGAAGCACUCUGCUUACUACCGAUAUCUAAUUUACAUAGCUGGACAAUAGCUGUGAUACAAUGAAAGUCACAGACUAUUAUAGAAUCAGAAAGGUGCAUUAGAUAAGGCCACCAUAGGAUACAUAGCAUGGAACAGCUUUUUGUUAGUGGUCACUGGUCAUUUUAAUUUGCUCAGUUUUUCUGUAUACUCCCAAGGUAGUACCUUCCAUGACUGAAUGGUACCAGCUCUGUUAAAAAGUUAUUAUACAGAACAAGUUUUCUUCCCUAUUACUUCUUGCCUUAAUCCAGACACUUAAAAAAAAAAAAAAAAA